RNAcentral lists this ribosomal RNA (23 nucleotides) under Trifolium repens (white clover). Lineage: Eukaryota; Viridiplantae; Streptophyta; Magnoliopsida; Fabales; Fabaceae. The record is from RNAcentral.
UGGGAAGUCCUCGUGUUGCACCU